This 461-nucleotide ribosomal RNA is filed under the name uncultured bacterium. RNAcentral describes it as "bacterial SSU rRNA". It matches the Rfam family "Bacterial small subunit ribosomal RNA", at positions 339 to 797 of the family's 1533-position model. The record is from RNAcentral.
GUACGGGAGGCAGCAGUAAGGAAUAUUGGUCAAUGGACGCAAGUCUGAACCAGCCAUGCCGCGUGGAGGAUGAAGGUCCUCUGGAUUGUAAACUUCUUUUAUCUGGGACGAAAAAAGGGUUUUCUAACUCGUCUGACGGUACCAGAUGAAUAAGCACCGGCUAACUCCGUGCCAGCAGCCGCGGUAAUACGGAGGGUGCAAGCGUUAUCCGGAUUCACUGGGUUUAAAGGGUGCGUAGGCGGGCAAUUAAGUCCGUGGUGAAAUACCUGAGCUUAACUUGGGAACUGCCAUGGAUACUAUUUGUCUUGAAUGUCGUGGAGGUUAGCGGAAUAUGUCAUGUAGCGGUGAAAUGCUUAGAUAUGACAUAGAACACCUAUUGCGAAGGCAGCUAACUACGCGAAUAUUGACGCUGAGGCACGAAAGCGUGGGGAUCAAACAGGAUUAGAUACCCCGGUAGUCCU